AACGCUAGCUACAGGCUUAACACAUGCAAGUCCAGGGGCAGCAUGAACUUAGCUUGCUAAGUUUGAUGGCGACCGGCGCACGGGUGAGUAACGCGUAUCCAACCUGCCCACCACUUGGGGAUAACCUUGCGAAAGUAAGACUAAUACCCAAUGAUAUCUCUAGAAGACAUCUGAAAGAGAUUAAAGAUUUAUCGGUGAUGGAUGGGGAUGCGUCUGAUUAGCUUGUUGGCGGGGUAACGGCCCACCAAGGCAACGAUCAGUAGGGGUUCUGAGAGGAAGGUCCCCCACAUUGGAACUGAGACACGGUCCAAACUCCUACGGGAGGCAGCAGUGAGGAAUUUUGGUCAAUGGGCGAGAGCCUGAACCAGCCAAGUAGCGUGCAGGAUGACGGCCCUAUGGGUUCGCCCCCUGCUUUUAUAAGGGAAUAAAGUGAGAGUCGUGACUCUUUUUGCAUGUACCUUAUGAAUAAGGACCGGCUAAUUCCGUGCCAGCAGCCGCGGUAAUACGGAAGGUCCGGGCGUUAUCCGGAUUUAUUGGGUUUAAAGGGAGCGUAGGCCGGAGAUUAAGCGUGUUGUGAAAUGUAGAUGCUCAACAUCUGAACUGCAGCGCGAACUGGUUUCCUUGAGUACGCACAAAGUGGGCGGAAUUCGUGGUGUAGCGGUGAAAUGCUUAGAUAUCACGAAGAACUCCGAUUG
RNAcentral lists this ribosomal RNA (695 nucleotides) under uncultured Bacteroidales bacterium. RNAcentral's name for it is "bacterial SSU rRNA". It matches the Rfam family "Bacterial small subunit ribosomal RNA", at positions 32 to 715 of the family's 1533-position model. The record is from RNAcentral. Lineage: Bacteria; Pseudomonadati; Bacteroidota; Bacteroidia; Bacteroidales.